UGGGGAAUAUUGCACAAUGGGCGCAAGCCUGAUGCAGCCAUGCCGCGUGUAUGAAGAAGGCCUUCGGGUUGUAAAGUACUUUCAGCGAGGAGGAAGGUGUUGUGGUUAAUAACCACAGCAAUUGACGUUACUCGCAGAAGAAGCACCGGCUAACUCCGUGCCAGCAGCCGCGGUAAUACGGAGGGUGCAAGCGUUAAUCGGAAUUACUGGGCGUAAAGCGCACGCAGGCGGUCUGUCAAGUCGGAUGUGAAAUCCCCCGGGCUCAACCUGGGAACUGCAUCCGAAACUGGCAGGCUAGAGUCUUGUAGA
This 309-nucleotide ribosomal RNA is filed under the name uncultured Citrobacter sp. Its description in RNAcentral is "bacterial SSU rRNA". It matches the Rfam family "Bacterial small subunit ribosomal RNA", at positions 355 to 655 of the family's 1533-position model. Lineage: Bacteria; Pseudomonadati; Pseudomonadota; Gammaproteobacteria; Enterobacterales; Enterobacteriaceae. The record is from RNAcentral.